RNAcentral lists this long non-coding RNA (5264 nucleotides) under Sus scrofa (pig). RNAcentral's name for it is "lncRNA (ENSSSCG00000060470.1)". The record is from RNAcentral. Lineage: Eukaryota; Metazoa; Chordata; Mammalia; Artiodactyla; Suidae.
CUUUGAUUCUUGAUUUAACCUAUAAAAAUUCUUAGCCUCUUUUAGAAUUAAAGAAUAUUUUAAAUAUUUCAUGCCAUCAACUUUGAAUCAAAUUCAAUGUAUCUGUUCUUUCAGGAAACCUCAAACCGUGUACACAGCAUACGUAUAAUUUUUUUUUUUUUUUUUAACAGAAGCUCUAUUUUAUUUUGUCUUUUGUCUUUGUCUUUUUAGGGCCACAUCCCCAGCAUAUGGAGGUUCCCAGGCUAGGGGUAGAAUUGGAGCUGUAGCUGCUGGCCUAUGCCACAGCAAUGUGGUAUCCGAGCCGUGUCUGUGACCUAUACCACAGCUCACAGCAACACUGGAUCCUUAACCCACUGAGCAAAGCCAGGAAUUGAACCCUUGUCUCAUGGAAACUAGUCAGGUUGUUAACACCUGAGCCAUAACAGGAACUCCUGGAGCAGAGCACGUGCAUAAUUCUUAAAUCUCCAGUACCUAUCAUAACACCAGACUUGCAAUAUGCAGUACUUUAUCUCUACAAAGUAUAAGUACAUGCACUUAAAUAUCUUGAAAUUAUAUUAGCAUUUAUUUUUCAUAAUUGUUAUCAAGCCAUUUCUGUAUACAUUUUUCUCUCAUUCAUUUAUUUACUUAGUCUUUUUAGGGCCACACUUGCAGCAUAUGGAGGUUCCCAGGCUAGGGGUCAAAACAGAGCUAUAGCUGCUGGCCUACACCAGUUACAACAAUAUGGGAUCUGAGCUGAGUCUGCAGCAUGCACCACAGCUCAUGGCAAUGCUGGAUCCUUAACCCACUGAGCAAAGCCAGGCAUCAAACCUGCAUCCUCUUGGAUACUAGUCAGAUUCAUUUCUGCUGAGCCACGGUGGGAACUCCUCUCUCACAUGUAUUUAAAUUUUGAUAGCUGCAGAGUGCAGAGAGGAGAAAUAAAGGAAUUUUAAUUAUCCUAAAAAUUGAGAAUGUUCUGCAAUAGAAACUGUUUAAGGAAAGCUUUGAAUACAGUGAUAUUUUUUUUGAAAUUGGUGAUUGGUAGGGGUAAGUAUGCCCAAAACAAAUGGUUUCUAAAAUGUCCUAUACAAGGUGUAUUUCUGGUGUACAAAUAUCAAGGGAUUUUGAGAAAAUUAAUUUAUGAGAAGUAUGUAUAAUUAAAAAAAUUUCUGUCUUUUGAUUUUUCUUCUCUGAAUCAAAAAACAAAUAUUGAAAAAUCAGAACCUUCUAAAUAAAUAGUAGGGAACCUUUCCUCCAGGGAUAGCUUCAAUAGAAUAACAAUGCUAUGUAAAUAUAGUCUCUUGUUUCUUUUUUGAAAUACAUGAUAAAGACUGCCUUAGAUAAAUAUUUCAAAAUACUGAUAAGGUGCAUAAUGCUAUAGCACUAAUAAAGCCUCAGGCAUUCCAAGGUUGUUAUUACAUAUGACAUACACACAUGUAUAUACAUACAAUCACCCACAUCAAGUAGGAGCUCUAGUUAAAUUUUAUCGUAGUUAAUAAUGUUUGCAUAAAGCCAUUACAAUUUGAGGGUUAUUCUAAAGAGGGUGGUUUAAAAUACUUAUACAUAUUAUAAUUGAUUCCAGAAACUGACGAAACAAGCACAAAAUCAUGGUCAAGUAAACAUAAUUACUUUCCAGGAAUUAUCCUAUUAGACAUAUGAUUUCACAGUAACACCUGUCAAGCUACAUUUUUAGAUUUGCAUAAGAUUUUGAUGUUUAUGUUCCUAAAAUUUAUCUUUACAUAGUCACAUUGUGAUACAUUAUAAAAGAGAAAUAGUAUAUAAUUAAAGAUGAUGUAUUUCUUCUGCUUUUUGGCUGUGCCCACAGCAUGUAGACAGUCCCAAGGGAGGGAUCAAAGCUUCACCACACCACAGUGACUUGAGCCACAGCAGUGAUAAUGCUGGAUCCUUAACCUGCUGAGCCACCAGGGAACUCUUUUUUUUUUUUUUCUUUUUGAGAUGAAAUAUUUUUUAAUCUACGCUCACAAGGUGUUCUUUAUGUUCAAUUGAAGAUGCCUUUGGACCCCCAAUACAGAUUUGUGUAGAUUUGAUUUUAGUGACCAGAGGUUCUAAGAAUAGCCUUUCUAAGGAAUCUUCACUCUAGAUUCCUAAAAUAGAGGCCUGGAAGCAAGUCACAGUUUUGCUACACAAAUGGGUAAUGUUAUGCUACAGGGCAAUGGUGGCUUUGUUUUUUCAUAAGCAUUGUGAUGAAUGUGGGAAAUGGUGCAUUAUGAAAAGAAAAGACUAAUUCUAAUGUGUGAUAUUCAUUAGAUAUAUGUUACUACUUACCUUCCUUUCUUAAACAUAUCCUCAGCCAAGUUGGUAAUUGUUUAUAACAGAAGUGAAAAGGGUCUUAUGGACCUUUUAUCUCUUGGGAUCAGAUACCUAAUUAUUUUAAUAUGUUUUCACCUCUUAGAUAUCUACAAAGAUGGUAAAAAUGGUACAUUUAAUAUACGGGAAACAGUAUGGAGGUUCCUCAGAAAACUAAAAAAAGAACUACCUUAUAAUCCACCAAUCCUAGAUAUCUGCAUAAAUAUAUCAGAUAGAUAUCUGCAUAAAACCAUAAUUCAAAAACAAUGAAGCACAAUGUUUGUUGCAGCGCUAUUUACAAUAGCCAAGGCAUAGAAGCAAUCUAGAGGUCCAUCAAUAGAGGAGUGGAUAAAAAAGAAGUAUAUAUACACAAUGGAAUAUUAUUCAGCCAUAAAAAAUCACGAAUAAUGCCAUUUACAGCAAUAUGGAUGGACCUAGAUAUUAUCACACUGAGUGAAGUUAGACAAAGACAUAUAUGAUAUUGCUUGUAUGUGGAAUGUAAUAAAAAUACAAAAGAACUUAUUUAUAAACAGAAAUAAACCCACAAGUUUCAAAACCAAUCUUAUGGUUACCACAGAUGAAUCUGUUGGGGGGAGGGAGGAAUUGGGUGGAAAUAACACAUACAUACUACUGUAUAAAACAGAUGAUUAAUAAGAACUUACUGCAUAGCGCAGAAAAAUCAAUAGUUUGUGAUAACCUAUAUGGGAAAAAAGAAUGGAUACACUUAUAUGUAUAACUGUUCCACUUUGCUGUAUGCCUGAAUCUAAUACAACAUUGUAAGUCAACUAUACUCCAAUUUUUUUAAAAAAAUAAUUUCAAAAUAUUGAUUUUUCAGAAUGAUGAAAUAUCACCCUUGAAGGUCAAAAAACAAAAUGAAAUGCUUUGGAACCUAGGCUAGCUGCCUCAAAUUUACUCUGUAAAAUACAUGAUGCUUGGGAGCUGUGGGGGACAGGAUACUUAUGUCUGAGUGUGUAUGUGCAUGCGCACAUAAUAGGAAAUAUAUAGUGACUAUAGUAAAAUGUAAAUUCCUGUCUGCCACCUGCAGCAUUGCAUUAAUAAGCACUAUUGAGCUCAAUGCACACAUGAAACUAACUUGAAGGACAUUAAAUAUUCUGUAUAUUAUUAUUAAGCCCUGAAAAUAUGUAGUGUCCUAAGAUGGGUAAAAGACCACAGAUUUUUUAAUCCCCCUUUCAUUGAGAGGUAUAGUCUUAUUCCGCCUGCAUCUGAGGGGAUGCUUUGGUGAAGAGAGGUGACACUGCUUAAGCUCUAAAACAUGUAGCAAGUACCAUCUCAGCCUCUUGGAACUCUGAGUCACCAUGGAUGAUGUCCAACUACUUGGCUGGGGAGACCAUUUGGAGAGGCCCUAAAAGUACAUUACAGAGGGGUCAAGAUGAGCUCAGCUUUCAGCCUUUCCUUCCCUCCCAUGGUGCCAGACAUAUGAGUGAAACCAUCUCAGACCAUCCAGAUCAGGCUAGGUUCCAGCGAAAUACUAUAAACGAGGAGCUGAUGUCACAUGGAACAGAAGAAUCACCCCUGUGCCUCUGCCCAUAUUUAUGCCUCACAAAACAGUGAGACAUAUUAAAGUGGUGGUUAUUUAAAGCCUUGUGUGUUCAGUGGUCUGUUGCUUAUCAGCAGAUCAAAAGAUCAUGCUCUAUGGGCACAAGAAAAAAAAAACCUGCUUAAUCUUCUGACUAUGUACAUGGCUACUGUAUAUUUUCCAGGUAGUUAAUAACAUUUCAUAUCUAUAUGCUGUCACUAUGACUUGGACUGGGUAUGACUUGAAGAAAGAGGAGAGAGCACUGAAUGGUUGUUCCCAUCCAAAACCCUGAUAUAUUUCCUUUUCCCUUCCUUUGUUUGUCAUUUUGAAAGAGGAGCAGGGCUAAGACAGGAGUGCAUGAUAUAAAUAAGAAGUCUGUCUUAAAGGAAAGGGCCGAAUACUGCCAAGUACCAGCAGCUCUGCACUGAAGGAGAGAUACUUCUUGGUCUAGGGUCAAAGCUGUGAUAGAGUGAAUGCAUGGCUGCUUAUAACUCUCCAAAGGAGUUACUGGAGAAGCCGUGGGCCAUGCAGGCAGCUCUCCAUAAGUCUGAGCUCAUAUUUUUUGUUUUAGCAGCUCUGUGUUGUGACACAGUUUCAAAUCGUGCUUCAAUUUUCCUUUGAAGCAUUUUUCUUUUCUUUUUUUCCCCCCAGUCUCAUUCUUUUAAAGGCCUUCCCUCAGCUUUUAAAAAGAUGAAAGCAUGCAUGAAAGUCAAUUAUUUUCAAAAGAGUAAGAUAGAAAAACAAUAAUUGGAACUGAGAAGUUGGGUGAGAAGUAUCUUUAUGACUUACUUAAAACAGGUCAAAACAUUCGAGGCUUUCUUGACUUCAGCUGCUCAAAAUGAGUUUAAUAACAUGUAGUCUCCUAGUCUGCAUACAUAUAGAAUUCUGUUAUGUGGUUGCAUUGCACUGGGAAAACAUCAUCAAAAUAAGACACUGCCUGUGGACAUUCACAUCAUUCUCUGUCUGAUUAUGCUGGUUAAUUACACAUAACUAUAAAGGACUUUUUCCCUGAAAAGUGUGACUAAACAUGGCAGUAUUUCAAAAAUAUCUUCUUUUUUGACCAAAUAAUUUGAAAAUAAAGGGAAAGACUAGUUGGCUUAUUUGAUAAUCAUAAAAAUGGAAAUGUAAUGAUUAAGAAAAAUGGAACCAUAAAAUUCAGAAUUUAAGGUGUCACCAGACAUUGCUUUGCCCAAUUUUCAUAAAACAUUUUAAGUACCUGAAAUGUUACAAAAAGAUACCCAAAAUUUCAGCCUCACAAGGAAAAGCCAGUAGUCAAUCUAUUGCCAAACUCUUACAUGAUUGUCUGCUACCUGUUGGUUUGAUGAAAUAGAUAGCAAAAACAAAGAAAAAUUGACUACAACUUGAAGUAUCCAAGAAAACUCAGUGGGAGAUACAAAGUUAUAACACUAAAAACUCUUCUAAACCAUAGCAGGGAUAAGACCCU